Molecule: unclassified non-coding RNA, 352 nt
Filed under: Bombus terrestris (buff-tailed bumblebee)
Lineage: Eukaryota; Metazoa; Arthropoda; Insecta; Hymenoptera; Apidae
Description: misc RNA ENSBTSG00005026454.1
Source: RNAcentral
AAAGGAUAAAAGCCCUCAGAACUGACAAUGGUUUAGAAUAUCUAGGAAAGGAGUUCACAAAUGAAUUGGAAAACUGUGGUAUUCGCAGGGAAUUUACAACUCCCCAUACACCUCAGCAUAUAGAUGGCGAGCGAGAACUCACGUUGUUAUUUUCAACACCCCCUCUCAACGGAAUUCGAGCGCUCGUCAAACCAAUAGUCUCUAGAGACACUGGUGACGAUCUAACAGGAUAUACCGACUCCGACUGGGGAGGUGAUAUUGUCGAUAGGAAAUCUAGAACUGGCUUCAUAUUCAAAUUAUCAAAUAGUGCCAUAUCAUGGGAAUCUAGAAAACAAAAAAGUGUGGCGAUUUC